Molecule: non-coding RNA, 4785 nt
Organism: Phasianus colchicus (ring-necked pheasant)
Lineage: Eukaryota; Metazoa; Chordata; Aves; Galliformes; Phasianidae
Source: RefSeq, a predicted model, not a curated record
AGAUUCCUCUGUUGGAGUUUUACAGCAAGCCCAGGACAUGGGUACUGCCUCUGUCCCAGUAUUUUAUUUGGUGACUACUUUUAAUGGGUCCGGAUUCAUAAUGCCAGGAGAUGCACUUGGGAUGACUUAACUCUUGGAAACUCUCUCAGUCUUCAGGAACUUUCGAUGUACUGCCUUCAGGCCUUGGUACAACUCUGGACCUUAUAUCCUAAUACCACUGUGUUACAGGAGGGACAAUACUUGCUGAUAGGAACUUGCUGAGAGAGAACUGCAACCCAGAGAUGAGAAAAAUUGGACUCUUAGCCAUUGCUCUCGUGCUACCUUCUGUCAUCUUCUGCUGAAGAACACUGCGAGGCUGACAGCCAUACAGAUCAGAUGUAGGAACACAAUGAACUGGAAAAGGACUGUGUAAACAUAAAUUGCUGGUACUAGAAAAGAGGCCAGAAAUGUAGAAUUACGCUUUUUUUGUGUGUUUGACAAUUGCAAGUUGUGCUUAGAAUUGAGUUUGUUCCUGAAUGUGGAAUUUGUCCAAUGUGGGAUUAAGCAAUGCAUCAUUGUGUUGAGAACAGCAUUUUAAAAGCUGAAGUGCUUUGCCAGUGGAUAAGAUGGGAAUUCUGAAGUGUUUAGGAUAAUACUAAGGCAGCGCUAAGUAGCUAUGACAAAAACACCAUCAGUUGGUGGUUUUCAAAAUCCUGUGGAAAGGUCUGAACCUGGCCAUCUCUUCUCAGAGUCAGCAUAACUCUCUCUAGUUUUAUAUUUUGAAAGCAAACAUUUCAGUUCUUAAAUUCAUGCAAGUAACUCAAUAGUCUUAAGCCCAAUCAUUACGCUUUCAAGUCAGUGUGCAAGUAUAAAAGGGUAAUGAUAGUCUUUUCAAAUGAACUUGAGGCAAAAGCCUCCAAACCUCUAGUGAAGUGGUAAUCUUGCUGGUGGGUGGGCAGGAGUUAUAUGUCCUUAAGUGGUGUUUCUAUUCAUAUCUGAAUUUUUGCCAAAGAAAAUUUUCUAAAUAAGUCUGGCUCUCUGAAAGCCAGUUGUAAGCUGUAUUUACUUCUGGGUGAAUCCAGAUUAAAAAAUCUGCACUGUAGCCUUAAUGUACUUGAAACUCUUCAAAAAAUUAUUGGGCAUUUCUAGACUUUGGUCUUUUCUCCUUUUUCUUUGUACAAACAGCUUCUUUUGUGCACCUACAAAUUUUCCCUAUCUCUACCAAUUGCUUUUCUCUUCUUACUUGCUGCUUUUUCUUCCCUGUCACUGCUGCUUUCACACUCAUUUUCUUUCCACUCUUUGCUACCUUUUCCAUUUGCUCAUAGCCAUGUGGCUACGUAAGCCAUCAUAAAGAUAAUGCGCCUUCUCAUUCCAGUUCAGUGAUAACCUUGUCUGUCUCCUGUAGCUUGCCUCUCUUCCCUGGAAGAGCAGUGAAGUACACCAACAUUAAAUCUGGGAUGGCUGAAGAGCCCUGCCUCGGCUGUAGAGCAGGCAGUGCUUUUGCUGCUGGAACAUCCUGUGCAGGCUUCAGUCAACUGGUUUUGCUGUUGUUCCUCCAGGAUUUGGCCUUACAGUAUCAUGCUUUUAAUUAUUUGCUCAAAUUAUGUUAAAAUGCUUGUAGGUAAUGCAUUAGUGAGCAUUAGUAGACUUUCUCACUCCCCAAAUGUUUCCCAUUUCCAUUUAAAUUUGAUUAUUCACAAAUACUGAGGAGAGAGACUAAUAUGUCCUGAAUUGGUGCAGGGCAUGAUACUGAUGUUUCUCACAUCCACUUGGCGGUUGAUGAAUCCUGUUCUCAGUCUGGCCCAUGUGUGUUUUAAUUUGUCAUUGUGUUUCUUUGUCUGUUAGCCUGUUGUGACACUGUCAGUUCUGAGCUGCAAUUUGCUGAGCUUUAAAUAACUCAAGUUUUGAACUUUCUGACCGGUAUUAUUAAAUAGUGACAGGAUUAGUCAAGGAGAAAAGAAAAAAGGUUCUUGACGAGCUGCCCUAACGCUAUUGAAUGGACAAAAAUUGGCCCUGUCAUUCUUGUUCCUACUUUUGGGAAUCUCAGGGUAAUUACAAUCAGCAAAACCCACUAAGCCAUACCUCAAAGAAGCUGAAGUUGUAAUGCAAUUAUUUUUUUUCUGAUGAUUUGCUUUCUCCUCUCAAUUAUAUAUAUCUAUAUAUUAAAAGAUAACAAAAGUUAACAAUUGCUUCCUCUUACAGUAUGUGCAUCAGAUAAACAAUGUACCAGUGGUAAAUUAAAGGCAAACAUUAAAUCAGAAUAUAAUACUACUAAUAAAAGUGGAGUAGACAGCAAAUGCAGCUGAUGCUCAGGAGGACUGGCUGGGUCUGGUCCCACUUCUGAUGUUUUGGUUAGUUAAAAGCCAUGAUUAUGUUCCACAUGAACUGCAACUUUGUAUAUGUGUUUUGCAUCUAUUUACCAUAUUAUGGAGAAGAUACAGACGGAGAUGAAACUGUUAUGGAGGAUUUGAGAUGGAAUGAGCAUGCUAAUGAGCCUAUGCAAAAAUGCAUCUAUUAGCCAGAUGGUGAGUUACACUGGCAUUGACUUCUGUUUACCAUCUGUUUAAUUCUCAGGAAGAGAUAGGAAAGAAGCUUGAAGUGGUGUAGAGGAGCAACAAACAGUAAUAGAGCAGUAACCUUCACAAUCUGUCCUGAAUGUUGCCUUUCUCAAAUAGUUAAAUACCUGUUUCUUGUCUGGCAGGGGAUAGCAAACUACAGACAACUUGCUAAGUUUUCUACUGCUUAGUUCUCCUGCGUCCCCAUCCUCAGCAUUCCAUGAAAAAGGAAGACCUAUAGUCCCUCAGUGAGAAAAAUUGUUCAAAGCAAAUUAUUACAACAACAGUAAUAAUAAAAUCUUUAAACUACUAAACAAUAAUUAUCGCUGACAGGAAAAAAAAAGUCCUUCAUUUAGAGAAAGAAAAACCUAAGGUCAGGACAGUCCAGUAAUCGUAUUUAAAAUUUUUAUUUAAAUACAGUUUGCAGUGUCAAACAUUUCAAGCUAUGUUUCUUAAACAUUUCAAGUGACAAAAUCAGAAGAAAAUAAUAGCCCAAUGUUGUACUGACAGAGGUGAAUAUUUUACACAAAGUGGAAAAUUCCAAAUUGCUUAACAAUGUCCUUAUGCAAAGGCACUUGAAUCUCACAUUUCGUGUUUGCUAGCUCACUAGAGGGUAGCAGAGAGAGACAAACAGAGAGAGAACACUUUAGCACAUUUUCUGCUUGGUAGAGAUGAACACACUUGCUAUGGUUUCUGCAGUCUUAGAAACGUCUGCUGCCCUUCAGGCUCCUUGGUAAAGCAGAGGCUGUGUUUGAUGCUGAGUGUAAACCAACACUGUAAAACUGAAUUUACACAAUUCUAAAUCAUUCCUGGUUUUAACAUUGCUCAUAGUUGGAUGUUUUUUAACUUAUACGCAUUUUUAGGAUGCAUAUUGUUCAGGGAGAGCAUUUUUGCCUUCACUGUAUUGUGCACGGGGGACGCUGUCCCAUAUAGUAGAGAGAUCAUUUUAAAACAAUACCUUAACCUUGGAGGGAUGCAGCAAUUCAGGGCAUGCACUACUGUAGUCAACACCUGCAGUCCAAAAUCUCUCACUGCCACCACAUUAAAUACUUGGACAAAAGAAGCUGUUGCACUGUGCAUGGAUGUCUGCCUGGUUAGCACAGCCCUUGAGUGGGUUUGGAAGGCAUGCUGGCUCAGAGCAGGAGCUAGAACUCACUGGGGGCAACAUGUCUGUGCUCAUUGUCAUCUCCAAUCCCUUUUGACAUUUCAGUCCUCCCAUAAUAUAGACCCUGUGGCGUUAAUUACUGCCUCAAAAUUCAACAGGUUUCAGUGUGACUUACUUCUAUCCUAGGGAAUACAAUGAGUUUCAUAAAGACGUGUUGAAGUCUGGCCAUACCCAUACCACACUCUUAUAGUACUAACAGGCAAGCAAAAAAUGUUGCCCUAUAGCAACACACCAUCAAUAUAUAUUGAUUGCAGUGAACACUCUUAGGUAUUUAAUAAAGAAGAUUUUGAAGUUAUGCAGUUUUAUGAGGUGUUGUUAGAGGUAAUGUUUCACUGGCUGAGGCUGGUAUUAUUACUGUGUUAGAGAUCUUUUUUUUUUUCCAAAUAAUUCAUAUUGUGGUUUGCCUUUGUUUGCCUGUGAUACAGAAAAUAGUCUCAAGAAUAGAUUGCUUGAAGUAUUUUGCCCAUCUUUGUUGUGUGUAAGCUUGAGUUUAUGGCAAUAAAAACUGACAAACAGUCCCACUAUUUAAUCAAAUGCCAACAAGAGGAGCUAUCUAAAGUAUACUUGCUUCCCUACAAACAACUCAAGGCCCAAAGUAACACCUUUUUGUACUGUGCCUGUAAAAGAACGGUAUGGAUUGAAAAGCUGUGCUGCUGUCAUGCCCUUCUCCUUGGAGUCUGCAUGCACAUGCAUAGAUGAGACAUGCCUGAGGCACCCUCUGUCCCUUGCCUCCUUUUGAAGCUUUUGCAAGAGGUGCCUUGUGACAGCCUAUCAUUGCAGCUGGUAUGGGAGGCUUGCUAGGUGUAACCCAGCCUGAUGUUCUGCCCAUCAAAUGGCUUCUGUAAAAAAUAAAAUUGGGAAUCCUUUGAAUGGAUCUUUUUGCAUUAAAACUUUUGUCAAUUUCUACAUUGCUUCUGAUCUGAAUUCCACAAAAAGACUGUAAGCCACAGAGGGGAUUCAGAAAUGUGCUCCUUAUCAAAUAUUAUGUGAAAUAAAAAAGAAAGUAUGUUGUGUAGAGAACCGUCCUCCUUGUUCUGCUGAUUCAGAUGUUUAGUGAUUAAACAUCUAGAAACCAAAAUUGAAAUA